CAUGCAAGUCGAGCGGAUGAGAGUAGCUUGCUGCUGGAAUCAGCGGCGGACGGGUGAGUAAUGCUUNAGAAUCUGCCUAUUAAUGGGGGACAACGUCCCGAAAGGAGCGCUUAUACCGCAUACGUCCUACNGGACACAGGAGGGGAGCUNNGGGCCUUGCGCUAAUANAUGAGCCUANGUCGGAUUACCUAGNGGGUAGGGUAAANGNGCUACCAAGGANGACGAUCUGUAGCGCGUCUGAUAGGAUGAUCCGCCGCACUGGGACUGANACACGGCCCACACUCCUACGNCAGGCAGCAGUGGGGAAUAUUGGACAANAGAGGGGGAACCCUGAUCCAGCCAUGCCGCGUGUGUGAAGAAGGCCUUUUGGUUGUAAAGCACUUUAAGCGAGGAGGAGGCUACCUAGAUUAAUACUUUAGGAUAGUGGACCUUACUCGCAGAAUNNNCACCGGCUAACUCUGUGCCAGCAGCCGCGCUAAUACCGAGGGUGCGAGCGUUAAUCAGAUUUACUGCGCGUAAAGCGUGCGNACGCGGCCAAUUAAGUCAAAUGUGAAAUCCCCGAGCUUAACUUGGGAAUUGCAUUCGAUACUGGUUGGCUAGAGUAUGGGAGAGGAUGGUAGAAUUCCAGGUGUANCGGUGAAAUGCCUAAAGAUCUGGAGGAAUACCGAUGGCGAAGGCAGCCAUCUGGACUAAUACUGACGCUAACGUACGAAAGCAUGGGGAGCGAACAGGAUUAGAUACCCUGGUAGUCCAUGCCGUA
Molecule: ribosomal RNA, 760 nt
Filed under: bacterium
Lineage: Bacteria
Description: partial 16S ribosomal RNA
Rfam family: Bacterial small subunit ribosomal RNA
Source: RNAcentral